Molecule: ribosomal RNA, 433 nt
Filed under: uncultured bacterium
Lineage: Bacteria
Description: partial 16S ribosomal RNA
Rfam family: Bacterial small subunit ribosomal RNA
Source: RNAcentral
AACGAACGCUGGCGGCAUGUCUAACACAUGCAAGUCGAACGAGACCUUCGGGUCUAGUGGCGCACGGGUGCGUAACGCGUGGGAACCUGCCCUUAGGUUCGGAAUAACUCCCCGAAAGGGGUGCUAAUACCGGAUAAUGUCUUCGGACCAAAGAUUUAUCGCCUUUGGAUGGGCCCGCGUUGGAUUAGCUAGUUGGUAGGGUAAAAGCCUACCAAGGCGACGAUCCAUAGCUGGUCUGAGAGGAUGAUCAGCCACACUGGGACUGAGACACGGCCCAGUCUCCUACGGGAGGCAGCAGUGGGGAAUAUUGGACAAUGGGCGAAAGCCUGAUCCAGCAAUGCCGCGUGAGUGAUGAAGGCCUUAGGGUUGUAAAGCUCUUUUACCCGGGAUGAUAAUGACAGUACCGGGAGAAUAAGCUCCGGCUAACUCCGUG